Zophobas morio is the source of this 463-nucleotide long non-coding RNA. RefSeq lists it as uncharacterized. The transcript has 2 exons. The record is from RefSeq and is a predicted model, not a curated record. NCBI's taxonomy places the organism in Eukaryota, Metazoa, Arthropoda, Insecta, Coleoptera, Tenebrionidae.
GGCCGAAUCAAACCCACGAUCUUCAGUCUUAAUGUUGACGUUACAGCGCUAACAUAGCAGACACUUUCAUCACCACAAGACUAUAUUUCCAAACCAUGGCUCUACAGAGAUGUUCAUCGCCAACCCGCACUGUGGAGACUUUCCCAGAAGAGGAACUCGAUUCCACCUGCAGGGAAUACAGAAAUUUCGUCAAAAAUUUCGAAAAGCCCGAAGAUUUGACGAAAAUAAUGACAGUCAGAGGAGUCGGAUCCAGGCAUCUCCCAGGAAUUAUUUCUGGAAAUUUGAGGCUCAGACGGACACCAGUAAGGAGACAUCUACCACAGGAGUAACCUAUUGGAUUAUUAUAUAUUUGUUUUAGACUAGAUAUUUGAUUUAUCCAUUUUGUUUGUACAUAAAUUUUGUUAUUUUGUUUUAUAAAUUACAUAUUAUUACAACAUUAUAAAUUAAAUUAUUUAAUUUAAAA